This is a long non-coding RNA of Bos indicus x Bos taurus (hybrid cattle), 2438 nucleotides long. The record is from Ensembl. NCBI's taxonomy places the organism in Eukaryota, Metazoa, Chordata, Mammalia, Artiodactyla, Bovidae.
AUGGUUGGAUGGCAUCACUGGUUCAAUGGACGUGAACUUGGGCAAACUCCAGGAGAUAGUAAGGGACAGGGAAGCCUGGAGCGCUGCAGCAGACCAUGGGGUCUCAAAGAGUUGGACAUGACUUGGAGAUGGAACAACAAUCUUGUCGCUGUGCCCAGGUGGCCAUUGGAAACACGUGACAAGAAAGAAAGAGACAAAAUACAGGAGACAAAAUCCAGAAGAGCGGAAGGUAGAAAACGCCCACAGAGUUCUAUGGAUUGCAGAGACUUAUACUAUUAUAUAUGCUGGGCCACCAGCUUGGUAAGACCACUGACCAGCCUACACACGAGUUGGAUACCCAACUCCUGCCCUCAGAGAACUUACCUUUUAACAAGGACGACUCGAACUGACCACAGUGAAGUGUGUUAAGCUUUACCGGAGGGGAUACCAGGAAGUAAAUAAGAACAUAGUGGGAUUGUGAGUAGAGCUUUUACCUGGUUCUAUUGGUCACUUAGCAAUGCUCUGGGCGUUAAGAAGUGUACGUAACAUGCAGGAAAUACAGAGCUGCCUCCAGAGACUUCACAGUCUGGCUGAGGAGACCACAUUCACACAAGAAACAGAACUACAGAGGGCCGGAGUGGGAGGUGCCACUUCUCCACGGCGUUUCACAGACUCAGUGUUUGGGAUGCCUAUAGUAGUCAAGUUGCAAUAUCUGGGAUUUGGUUUACCCCUUUGAUUCUAAAAUAUAAAAUGGAACUUGUGGGGCUGUGUAACUAGUUCGGACUUGUAUCAUUUUAGAACUUAACUUUUUUAUAGGUGUGCAGCAUUUCUUAACUACACAUUAGGUUCCUUGAGGGCAGAAAUCAUUAAUUUUACUGCACUGUGUUUCUUGUAAUCUCCAGCCCAUUUCUGUCUACACAGUAGGCACUCACUGAAUAUCCAUGAAGUAAGUACAGGACACGAUAAUUUCUUAUUGUUUUAGUGCAAUUCCAGAGUGUAAGAAAGAUAAGAGGCCACCAUUGCCCAGAGAGUUGGAAGUUCUAGAUCCAUCUCUUGCUGUUCUGAUGAUGUUUGUUUCUACAGAUAUACUGCAUGCAUUCACGACCUUCCUUCACCCCAUCUAGAAUGAGGCCCCGUGACUGUAACUCCUUCUGCUUGUAACAUUUUCCGUAGCAGGGCAAUCUCUUAAGCGUUUGAGGGGAUGGAGAACGACAGCAGACAGAUGGGCCCAUUGACGAUGUGUCCCCUUGUGGUACAUCUGUCACAACUGAAUUAUUCUGUCAUUUGUGCUGUCACCAAGUCAGGCUGAUCCAAGGAGUGGAAGGAAGCGCAUUUCUAGUGACUCUUAAUCACAGAGGGAAAUGGCUCUGUGACACGUGUGUUUUCUGACAGCGACUGGCUUUAUUAUUUUCUAAGGGUAGAGAGAAGUGCAUGAUGUAUCAGCAUAUGAAUAAGUGACCUGCUAUGAUGGUGACAAUGAAACCCCGAGUUGGGUUUCAUUUUGUUUAACUGGUAUCUCUCUCUUAUUUUGGCCCGCCUACAUUUAAGGAGCCGAGUCUCAGGAGUUGUACUGGAUCCCAGGCUUCUCUGGCUAGCUAUGUGACCUUCAUGUUACAGGCACUUUCCUCUAUCUGUACUUAGGAACUUCACCUGCCUACCUCCAUCUAACCCUAAGAGUGGGGCAAUAUACUGCCCGUGACCAAAAUGUAUCCACCCUACAUGGUCAGGUCAUCCUUUGAGGACAGUUUCCCUAGGAUUCCAUGACACUCGUGAGCUCAAGGACCCUCUUGGAGGAAAGAGCUCCCAUAGCUGUACUUCUGUCAUCAGAUUUGCCUGUUAUGUAAGCCUCUGGCACUUGACUGGAAAAUUGCCUUUUGGGAUUCCAACCCCAGAGACUGUGAUGGCCUUGAGAAAUGGGGGAUGGAAUGCAUUAGGGCAGUUUUUAAGUCAAUUCCAGAAAAAGUGAUUUACUAGACAUAUUUAGAACCACAUUUUAUUUUUAAACUGGCGAAAUACAGUUGUUUUCCCAUUGUUCAUUGCACUUCACAUUUUGCUAAAAUUUUUCUAAAUGAUCUGAAUAAUUUCAUUUGACUAAUUUUUAACCCUGAAUAUUCAUUGGAAGGACUGAUGCUGAAACUGAAGCUCCAAUGCUUCACUGGAAAAAACCCUGAUGCUGGGAAAGACUGAAGGAAAUAGGAGAAAGGAAUGGCAGAGGAUGAGUUGGUUAGAUAUCAUCACUGACUCAAUGGACAUGAGUUUGAGCAAACUCGGGGAAAUAAUGAAGGACAAGGAACCCUGGUGUCCUGCAGUUCAUGGGGUCACAAAGAGUCCGACACAACUUAGCGACUGAAGAACAACAAUUUUCAACAAAUAGACUUGCUGUGAGUUGUCAAGGUGAUGUUGCCAGCGCAUGAAAGCUGUUUUGUUCAUUAAUUCAAUAAAUAUUUAAGUACUUACCA